RNAcentral lists this ribosomal RNA (590 nucleotides) under Stomatella planulata. RNAcentral describes it as "partial 16S ribosomal RNA". It matches the Rfam family "Bacterial large subunit ribosomal RNA", at positions 1817 to 2597 of the family's 2925-position model. Lineage: Eukaryota; Metazoa; Mollusca; Gastropoda; Trochida; Trochidae. The record is from RNAcentral.
CUCUCUUUGUAUAAAGUUAUUUAAAGAGUCGGACCUGCCCGGUGACUAAAAGUUAAACGGCCGCGGUACCCUGACCGUGCAAAGGUAGCAUAAUCAUUUGCCUUUUAAUUGGAGGCUGGUAUGAAUGGUUUGACGAGAGCUAAGCUGUCUCUUUCAGAAUAAAUAGAAUUUAACUUUUAGGUGAAGAGGCCUAAAUUUAUUUGAGGGACAAGAAGACCCUAUUGAGCUUUAGUGGUGUUGUAAAUUAAGUAUAUAAUAAGUGAAUUUAUUGAUAAAUCUCACUUAAGUUAAAAGUAAAUAUGAUUUUAUAAUUUAUUUUUACAAAAAAUCUUUAGUUGGGGCGACUGAGGAACAAAAAAAGCUUCCUUAAAUAAGUUAAGAAUUAUGAAUAUUAAAAGAUUUAUAUUAUUUUUACUAAAUAGAGUUGAUCCAAAAAUUUUGAUCAAUGGAAAAAGUUACCAUAGGGAUAACAGCGUAAUCUUUCUGGAGAGAUCAAAUCGAAAGGAGGGUUUGCGACCUCGAUGUUGGACUAAGAUAUCCGGAGGGUGUAGAAGUUCUCAAUGGUUGGUCUGUUCGACCAUUAAAAUCUU